GACGAACGCUGGCGGCGUGCCUAAUACAUGCAAGUUGAGCGCUGAAGGUUGGUACUUGUACCAACUGGAUGAGCAGCGAACGGGUGAGUAACGCGUGGGGAAUCUGCCUUUGAGCGGGGGACAACAUUUGGAAACGAAUGCUAAUACCGCAUAAAAACUUUAAACACAAGUUUUAAGUUUGAAAGAUGCAAUUGCAUCACUCAAAGAUGAUCCCGCGUUGUAUUAGCUAGUUGGUGAGGUAAAGGCUCACCAAGGCGAUGAUACAUAGCCGACCUGAGAGGGUGAUCGGCCACAUUGGGACUGAGACACGGCCCAAACUCCUACGGGAGGCUGCAGUAGGGAAUCUUCGGCAAUGGACGAAAGUCUGACCGAGCAACGCCGCGUGAGUGAAGAAGGUUUUCGGAUCGUAAAACUCUGUUGGUAGAGAAGAACGUUGGUGAGAGUGGAAAGCUCAUCAAGUGACGGUAACUACCCAGAAAGGGACGGCUAACUACGUG
RNAcentral lists this ribosomal RNA (497 nucleotides) under uncultured bacterium. Its description in RNAcentral is "partial 16S ribosomal RNA". It matches the Rfam family "Bacterial small subunit ribosomal RNA", at positions 28 to 507 of the family's 1533-position model. The record is from RNAcentral.